This 503-nucleotide ribosomal RNA is filed under the name uncultured bacterium. Its description in RNAcentral is "bacterial SSU rRNA". It matches the Rfam family "Bacterial small subunit ribosomal RNA", at positions 15 to 507 of the family's 1533-position model. The record is from RNAcentral.
GAUCAUGGCUCAGAGUGAACGCUGGCGGCAGGCCUAACACAUGCAAGUCGAACGGCAGCACAGUGGAGCUUGCUCCAUGGGUGGCGAGUGGCGGACGGGUGAGGAAUACAUCGGAAUCUGCCCAGUCGUGGGGGAUAACAUAGGGAAACUUGUGCUAAUACCGCAUACGACCUACGGGUGAAAGCGGGGGAUCGCAAGACCUCGCGCGAUUGGAUGAGCCGACGUCCGAUUAGCUAGUUGGCGGGGUAAUGGCCCACCAAGGCGACGAUCGGUAGCUGGUCUGAGAGGAUGAUCAGCCACACUGGAACUGAGACACGGUCCAGACUCCUACGGGAGGCAGCAGUGGGGAAUAUUGGACAAUGGGCGCAAGCCUGAUCCAGCCAUGCCGCGUGGGUGAAGAAGGCCUUCGGGUUGUAAAGCCCUUUUGUCCGGAAAGAAACGCCUCGGAUUAAUACUCUGGGGUAAUGACGGUACCGGAAGAAUAAGCACCGGCUAACUUCGUG